AGGAAUGUAGCUCAAUGGUACAGCACUUGCCUGGCAUAUGCAAGGCCCUGGGUUUGAUCUCCAGCCCAAUCCUA
Molecule: transfer RNA, 74 nt
Filed under: Marmota monax (woodchuck)
Lineage: Eukaryota; Metazoa; Chordata; Mammalia; Rodentia; Sciuridae
Description: tRNA.Ala
Source: RNAcentral